ANCAUUUAGUGGGGAAUAACUGUUGGAAACGACAGCUAAUACCGCAUAAUAUUGCUGGAUAAUUUCCAGUAAUGAAAGGAGCUUUCAAGCUCCGCUGAUUGAUGAGGAUGCGGCGCAUUAGCUAGUUGGUAGGGUAAUGGCCUACCAAGGCAAUGAUGCGUAGCCGAUCUGAGAGGAUGAACGGCCACAUUGGGACUGAGACACGGCCCAAACUUCUACGGAGGGCAGCAGUAGGGAAUUUUUCACAAUGGGCGAAAGCCUGAUGGAGCAAUGCCGCGUGACUGAUGAAGGUCUUCGGAUUGUAAAGGUCUGUUGUAAGGGAAGAAAUGGUAAAACAGGAAAUGGUUAUAUCUAUGACGGUACCUUACCAGAAAGCCACGGCUAACUAUGUGCCAGCAGCCGCGGUAAUACAUAGGUGGCAAGCGUUAUCCGGAUUUAUUGGGCGUAAAGGGNGCGUANAC
This 461-nucleotide ribosomal RNA is filed under the name uncultured Spiroplasma sp. RNAcentral's name for it is "bacterial SSU rRNA". It matches the Rfam family "Bacterial small subunit ribosomal RNA", at positions 128 to 576 of the family's 1533-position model. The record is from RNAcentral. Lineage: Bacteria; Bacillati; Mycoplasmatota; Mollicutes; Entomoplasmatales; Spiroplasmataceae.